Long non-coding RNA from Poecilia latipinna (sailfin molly), 374 nucleotides. RefSeq lists it as uncharacterized. The record is from RefSeq and is a predicted model, not a curated record. The transcript has 2 exons. NCBI's taxonomy places the organism in Eukaryota, Metazoa, Chordata, Actinopteri, Cyprinodontiformes, Poeciliidae.
UUUGGAAAAACAGUCAUUAGUUCAACAACCAGAACUUGUGCUUUCCAAAACUCCUGUCAAUGACUCUGCUGUAUCCGAGUCGGGCGAACAGGAAGAGGAAAAAGUAGGAACAUCUCCUGAUUACACGGACGAAGAUUAUGCAGAACUGAAGCAUGAUCACGAUGAAAACAAUAAUAACAGCGAGAGCAAAAAGGCAGAACCUGAACAAAAGAGGAAGACUCGUGUUCCCUUUGAGAGGCUGAAGAAAGCUGGCUACAAAAUAUCACCAAAAGAACCCGCUGGCCAAUUUGAGACAGAACAUGAGGAAAAAGAAAAGGAAACUCCUGCUACCACAGAAGACAGCCAAAUUCUGAAAGAAACAAUACAAGUACAAA